Molecule: ribosomal RNA, 254 nt
Filed under: uncultured bacterium
Lineage: Bacteria
Description: partial 16S ribosomal RNA
Rfam family: Bacterial small subunit ribosomal RNA
Source: RNAcentral
GACGAACCGUGCGAACGUUAUUCGGAAUCACUGGGCUUAAAGCGCGUGUAGGCGGUACGGCACGUCGGUCGCUGAAAUCCCCCGGCUUAACCGGGGAACGGGCGUCGAUACGACCGUCCUGGAGGGGCGUAGGGGGACCUGGAACUUCCGGUGGAGCGGUGAAAUGCGUUGAGAUCGGAAGGAACGCCCGUGGCGAAAGCGAGGUCCUGGACGCCUACUGACGCUGAGACGCGAAAGCCAGGGGAGCGAACGGG